AAACCAAUCAAUUUAGAUUGGUCAAGGCCCCUUAACUGGAUAAGGACUCAGUUCCCUUCCUUUUGAGUGCCUCCAAGCUGCCCUGGGCCUGUGUGAGCCAAGGUGCAGCGGCAGACUGAGGGCACACCUUGUUUUCCUGAGCACAUCUCAGUGGAGAAGCAUUGUUGGCUUACAUAAGCACACGGAUCUCUUGCCUCCUGCUAGAGUCUAAAAUCAUGAAAUCUUUUCCAGGUGUGCUCUUGCUGCCUCUGGACUGGAAUGUUAAGUGCUGGUGGAGUUGUUUGGCUUAACAGUCUGAUCAAAAUGUGUCUGUGGAUGGACAAGGAACCACCGCUUGGUCACUGGGCAGUUGAGGAAAAGCUCUUCACACCCCCAGGCUCUUGGGCCUCCAGAGCACUUGAUGGAAACCACUCCUGCAACCACUCCUUCAUCGUCUUCCCACCUCGUGAGCUCUGUGAGGACACGACGCCUCUUGUUCUCCACUGUCCACAUAGCACCUGCGGUCUGGGAGGAUGAUGGUUGCCCAAAAAAGGACGCUUGAGAUGGGGUUUGGGUAGAAAAUCCAGGACAGGUUGAUUCCCAUAAGUGCAAUUCCUCAGAUCACUAAUUUUUUUUAGAAUUGUUUUCUUUUUCUUUUCUUUUUUUUCUUACGGCUGCACCCGUGGCAUAUGGAGGUUCCCAGGCUAGGGGUCAAAUGGGAGCUACAGCUGCCGGCCUAUGCCCCAGCCUCAGCAAGGCGGAAUCUGAGCCUCGUCUGCGACCUACACCAUAGCUCAUGGCAAUGCCAGAUCCCCGACCCCCUGAGUGAGGCCAGGGAUCAAACCUGCAUCCUUACGGAUGCUAGUCAGAUUCGAUUCUGCUUCGCCGCAAUAGCAACGCCCUAGAAUUCUUUUCACUUUUAAUAUGUGUUUCCUAAUUAUAGACUGAUGUAUACUCAAUACAGAUAGGAAAAUAAUACUAAAAAAUCUGAAUACCCCUAAUUGCAUAUGGGAUUGGCAUAUGCACAUUGUGCUAUGUGGAAUGACUGGCCAGUGGGGACCUGCGGUAAAGCACAGGGAACACUACCCAAUACUCUGUGAUAAUCUGUGUGGGAAAAGAACCUGAAAAAGAAUGACUGUGUGUAUAUGUAUACCUGAAUCACUUUGUCGUACAGCACAAAUUAUCGCAACAUUAUAAAUCAACUAUACUCCAAUAAAACUUUAAAAAUGAAAAGAAAAUCUGAAUACCCAUAAUUAUAUCACCAGCAAAAAACGCUAUUGACCUUUCUCAUUUUGUCUGUGUACUAUACACACAUAUAUAUGUGUGUGUAUAAUAUAUAUAAUAGGUACAUAUUAUUAUUUUUUUUUUUUUCUUUUUAGGGCCGCACCUGAGGCAUAUGGAGGUUCCCAGGCUAGGGGCCUAAUCGGAGCUGUUGCUGCCAGCCUUCACCAGGGCCACAGCAAUGCCAGAUCCAAGCUAUGCCUGCGACCUACACCACAGCUCACGGCAAUGCUGGAUCCUUAAUCCACUGAGGCCAGGGAUUGAACCCACAACCUCAUGGUUCACAGUCGGAUUCAUUUCCGCUGCGCCACAACAGAACUCCGAUAGGUACAUAUUAUAUGAUGUUCAGUAUAAAACACACAUGCAUCAUAUAUUAUAUAUGUAUAUAAUGUAGUCAGGUAAGAUCAUUAAAUAUGUAAUAUCUAGUGUAUUUAUAAAAAUGUGUGUACGGAAAAAAUUGACAGAACAUUGUAAAUCAACUAAAACAAAAAAUAAAUUAAAAAAUAAAAAUAAAAAAUGUGCGUACUGAUCUAUACAUUCGCUCCUCCAUCUCCCUCCCAUUUCCUGCUGUUAAAUAGCCUCCACUUACAGGCUCCAAAGGGGUCCCUGGGGGAUCUUUGCCAGCAUGGCACCAGGCACACACUGACUUGCUUUUUCUACAUGGCAGGAAAAAGAGGGCAGUAUUUCAGGGAAGUGGGGGGUGCUGGGCCUGUCUUGCAUCUAACCACACAGGACCCUCAAGCC
This 2004-nucleotide long non-coding RNA is filed under the name Sus scrofa (pig). RNAcentral's name for it is "lncRNA (ENSSSCG00050040011.1)". Lineage: Eukaryota; Metazoa; Chordata; Mammalia; Artiodactyla; Suidae. The record is from RNAcentral.